RNAcentral lists this RNase P RNA (397 nucleotides) under Thermoleophilaceae bacterium. RNAcentral's name for it is "RNase P RNA component class A". It matches the Rfam family "Bacterial RNase P class A". From Rfam's summary of the family: Ribonuclease P (RNase P) is a ubiquitous endoribonuclease, found in archaea, bacteria and eukarya as well as chloroplasts and mitochondria. Its best characterised activity is the generation of mature 5'-ends of tRNAs by cleaving the 5'-leader elements of precursor-tRNAs. RNAcentral also lists the same sequence under 1 other name. Lineage: Bacteria; Bacillati; Actinomycetota; Thermoleophilia; Thermoleophilales; Thermoleophilaceae. The record is from RNAcentral.
CGUGCUCGCCAAGCAGCCGCGGGAGGCCGGAGAGAAAACCGGUCCUCGAGGAAAGUCCGGACACCGAAGGGCAGGGUGGUCGGUAACGCCGACCCGGGGAAACCCGCGGGAAAGUGCCACAGAAAAGACACCGCCCAAGCGACGAGCGGGCCGGCGGACGCGCGCGCCCGUCGACCGCCCGUCGCCGGCAAGGGUGAAAAGGUGCGGUAAGAGCGCACCGGCGGCGCGGCGACGCGCCGGCCAGGCAAACCCCACCCGGUGCAAGGCCAAGCAGGGACGCAGACGCUGCCCGCCGAGUCCCAGGUAGGCCGCAGGGCCGCUCAGCGGCCCGCCGCGCCCAGUGCGGCAGAUGGAUGGUUGCUCACGACAGGAUCCGGCUUAUCGGCGAGCUAAGGGA